UACGAAGGGGGCUAGCGUUGCUCGGAAUUACUGGGCGUAAAGCGCGCGCAGGUGGUUUGUUAAGUUGGGGGUGAAAGCCCGGAGCUCAACUCCGGAAUUGCCUUCAAAACUGGCAAGCUAGAGUACGGCAGAGGAGAGUGGAAUUCCCAGUGUAGAGGUGAAAUUCGUAGAUAUUGGGAAGAACACCAGUGGCGAAGGCGGCUCUCUGGUCCGUUACUGACACUGAGGCGCGAAAGCGUGGGGAGCAAACAGG
RNAcentral lists this ribosomal RNA (253 nucleotides) under uncultured bacterium. Its description in RNAcentral is "partial 16S ribosomal RNA". It matches the Rfam family "Bacterial small subunit ribosomal RNA", at positions 524 to 776 of the family's 1533-position model. The record is from RNAcentral.